Molecule: non-coding RNA, 126 nt
Organism: Triticum aestivum (bread wheat)
Lineage: Eukaryota; Viridiplantae; Streptophyta; Magnoliopsida; Poales; Poaceae
Source: Rfam
UUUGUACUCCAUCCGUCCGGAAAAACUGGUCCCAAAAUUGUUCCUUAAAUGGAUAUAUCUAGCACUAAGCUGGUGUUAGAUAUAUCCAUUUAAGUGAUAAGUUUUUUCGGACGGAGGGAGUAGAUU